RNAcentral lists this long non-coding RNA (590 nucleotides) under Ananas comosus (pineapple). Its description in RNAcentral is "long non-coding RNA (ACOM_LNC016125)". The record is from RNAcentral. Lineage: Eukaryota; Viridiplantae; Streptophyta; Magnoliopsida; Poales; Bromeliaceae.
GACUUGUGUGUGGACCCAGAAUAUAAAUAGCUUUAAGGAGCUAGGCUCCUCACUACAACAGAAUUAGAUUAUAGGGACAUAUGUUUGGGACACUUUUGAGUAAGUGUCCUAUUUAUGCUAAAAUUUAAAAACACAUCUACUAAUGCCUAAAUAUAAAAUCCAAUCCAAUCAAAAAUAAAAGAUUAUUCUACUCAACCCACCACACUCAGUCCAUUUGGCCCGAUUACAAACAGAAAAGAAAAAAAAAAAAAUCAAGUACCAUCUUUUCUUCUCUCUUCACUCAAUCCACUGAAAUUCUAGAUGAAGAGUCUUUACUGUCGUCCUCCUCCGCCACCGCAGCCAACGAGAUAGAGUUUCGGUCGUUGCUAAAUGUUUAAAUAAGUGUUGAUAAAUUAGCAGCAUUCUUUUAGAUUGUAGCGACACUCUUUAACUGUCACUAUAUACCUAGCGACCCCACAUAUAGCAACACUUUUUAAAAGUGUCGGUAAUUUUAGCUAGCAGCACUUUUUUGACAUGUACCUAUAUUUAAAAGUGUCGCUAUAGACCAUCUUUGUUGUAGUGCCUAUAAUUAAUAUCUAUAAUAUCAAAGU